Molecule: ribosomal RNA, 253 nt
Filed under: uncultured bacterium
Lineage: Bacteria
Description: partial 16S ribosomal RNA
Rfam family: Bacterial small subunit ribosomal RNA
Source: RNAcentral
UACGAAGGGAGCUAGCGUUGUUCGGAAUCACUGGGCGUAAAGCGCACGUAGGCGGCUGUGUAAGUCAGGGGUGAAAUCCCGGAGCUCAACUUCGGAACUGCCUUUGAUACAGCACAUCUGGAGUCCGGAAGAGGUGGGUGGAAUUCCUAGUGUAGAGGUGAAAUUCGUAGAUAUUAGGAAGAACACCGGUGGCGAAGGCGGCAACCUGGUCCUUUACUGACGCUGAGGCGCGAAAGCGUGGGGAGCAAACAGG